UACAGAGGGUGCAAGCGUUGCUCGGAAUCAUUGGGCGUAAAGGGCAAGUAGGUGGUCUUGUUUGUCUGGGGUGAAAUCCUUGAGCUUAACUCAAGAAGUGCCCUAGAAACGGCAAGACUCGAGUCCUGGAGAGGGUGGUGGAAUUCCCGGUGUAGCGGUGAAAUGCGUAGAGAUCGGGAGGAACACCUGUGGCGAAGGCGGCCCCCUGGGCCGGCCCUGACACUGAGACGCGAAGGCGUGGGGAGCGAACGGG
This 253-nucleotide ribosomal RNA is filed under the name uncultured bacterium. RNAcentral describes it as "partial 16S ribosomal RNA". It matches the Rfam family "Bacterial small subunit ribosomal RNA", at positions 524 to 776 of the family's 1533-position model. The record is from RNAcentral.